RNAcentral lists this ribosomal RNA (818 nucleotides) under Bacillus subtilis. Its description in RNAcentral is "bacterial SSU rRNA". It matches the Rfam family "Bacterial small subunit ribosomal RNA", at positions 557 to 1375 of the family's 1533-position model. The record is from RNAcentral. Lineage: Bacteria; Bacillati; Bacillota; Bacilli; Caryophanales; Bacillaceae.
GGCGUAAAGGGCUCGCAGGCGGUUUCUUAAGUCUGAUGUGAAAGCCCCCGGCUCAACCGGGGAGGGUCAUUGGAAACUGGGGAACUUGAGUGCAGAAGAGGAGAGUGGAAUUCCACGUGUAGCGGUGAAAUGCGUAGAGAUGUGGAGGAACACCAGUGGCGAAGGCGACUCUCUGGUCUGUAACUGACGCUGAGGAGCGAAAGCGUGGGGAGCGAACAGGAUUAGAUACCCUGGUAGUCCACGCCGUAAACGAUGAGUGCUAAGUGUUAGGGGGUUUCCGCCCCUUAGUGCUGCAGCUAACGCAUUAAGCACUCCGCCUGGGGAGUACGGUCGCAAGACUGAAACUCAAAGGAAUUGACGGGGGCCCGCACAAGCGGUGGAGCAUGUGGUUUAAUUCGAAGCAACGCGAAGAACCUUACCAGGUCUUGACAUCCUCUGACAAUCCUAGAGAUAGGACGUCCCCUUCGGGGGCAGAGUGACAGGUGGUGCAUGGUUGUCGUCAGCUCGUGUCGUGAGAUGUUGGGUUAAGUCCCGCAACGAGCGCAACCCUUGAUCUUAGUUGCCAGCAUUCAGUUGGGCACUCUAAGGUGACUGCCGGUGACAAACCGGAGGAAGGUGGGGAUGACGUCAAAUCAUCAUGCCCCUUAUGACCUGGGCUACACACGUGCUACAAUGGACAGAACACAGGGCAGCGAAACCGCGAGGUUAAGCCAAUCCCACAAAUCUGUUCUCAGUUCGGAUCGCAGUCUGCAACUCGACUGCGUGAAGCUGGAAUCGCUAGUAAUCGCGGAUCAGCAUGCCGCGGUGAAUACGUUCCC